UGCGGGGUCGGCUAAUGGUAGGCCGGGAGACUCUGGAUCUCCUAGUCCAGGUUCGAGUCCUGGCCCCGCAGCCA
Molecule: transfer RNA, 74 nt
Filed under: Armatimonadota bacterium
Lineage: Bacteria; Bacillati; Armatimonadota
Description: Armatimonadetes bacterium (groundwater metagenome) tRNA-Gln
Rfam family: tRNA
About the family: Transfer RNA (tRNA) molecules are approximately 80 nucleotides in length. Their secondary structure includes four short double-helical elements and three loops (D, anti-codon, and T loops).
Source: RNAcentral